GUAGGUGAACCUGCGGAGGGAUCAUUAACAUAUCAAAUGAGUUGCGGAAGCGAGGCAGAAGACAGAAGCACAGCAGCGCAUGCGUUGUUGCUGCAUCUGUUUUCUCUCUCUCUUCCUCAAUGAAUUCACACCUGCGAACUUAUCCCCCACCACCACACACUCCGAAGCAUAGCCUUGUGUUUUGUUUCGACCCUUCUUUCACCCCUUUCUUUUUUCUUUUCUCACACUGCGCGUACGAAGCUACACUCUUCUGAGUUGUCUCUUCUGCUCUCAUGUAUACUAAUCUAUAUAUCACUCCUAGCAAUGGAUAUCUUGGUUCUC
Molecule: unclassified non-coding RNA, 321 nt
Filed under: rhizosphere metagenome
Description: partial ribosomal RNA internal transcribed spacer region
Source: RNAcentral